UUUGCUCUUACCUCAAAAUCUAUCACAUCCCCAUUAUGGGGCAAUUUUGGUUCAAAAGUUUAUUUUUUGAACCAAACUAGCAAUUGCCGAUUUAGUUGUUGAUUCUUCUACUUUCUUUGACUUCAACCAUCCUUUAGACCGACUUUAACUCACUUUGGUUCCAAACCAACCAAUCCAAUUCAACUUUUUCAUCUUUUCUCUCUAACCAAUGUAUGAUCACAUCACAUCCAAUUCAAAAUUCUUUUUUCUUUUUUCUUUUCUCUCACUUCUCACUUUUUACUUCCCUCUUCUCUCACUUCUCUCACUUCCAGAAUCCUCUUUCUCUUCCGUCAUCUUCAUCAACAACAUUUUCUACCUAUUAUCUUCAUAUGUCUCUAGCAUCUUCAUCUUCCUUUUCCAACAUUUUGACAAAUUCAAUAUAUUUUUUAUUAUGGUUUAGGGUUUUGAGUUUUUUUACCAAAACCAUUUUCAUCUAUUUGGACAUGUUCAUUCACAUCAAGAGAAGUUGAAACUGCUUUCAGGUCUCCUUCUGUCAUUGAUGAUACUGAAAGGAAUAAUGAAUAAUUUUUACCUAAUAUCGGUCUUCUUCAUACAUUCACCAUGGCAAGAUUGUUUGAGUUGGACAUUUUCUUCUAUUUCUAUGACAGUAAUUUUUAAAGAUCUGUUUGGAUGAACAUUUUUAUAGAUUAGUGUCUUUGAUUCUUUACCAUAACAUUUUGCAAAGUAAAUUCCUCUUCUUAUUUAAAAAUGCUCUAUUUAUGUUAUGUGUUAUGUUUCAUAAUAUUUGUUUACUCAGUUUUUGUUCAUAUGGUACAUUAAAAUGCAGGUUAAAUCAUCUACAUCUUUGUUUUCUCUUUUUUUCAAUUUGUAAUGUUUAUUUGGUCAGUCAACCUUUUUUAUUUUGAUUUUUCGGUUUUGUUUUAUGAUUACACCGAAGAAAUGAUGUUUGUGAGAAGAAACAAGUGGAUUUGACUCACCGACCUAUCAUUAUAUGAGGAUUUAUGAUAGGUAGUUGUUGCUACAGAGAUUGAUGGAGCAUUACGUGGCGUGGUUAGACAACUUUCAAUUGAUCAAUUAGAAGAUAAAGGCAGGUGGAUCAGUUAUGGCUCUCCAGAAAAUGCAAUUGCUGCUAGAAAGUAAUUAGAUUGAAAGAUGUCAAUCAAUAACAUUCUAAAACAGAGUGAUUUUGCAAGCCAAUAAAUUAUAAUUUCUCUUACCUUGUGUUUUUAAGAAAAAUAAUUUAAAAUUUGAAAACUUUUAUGAUUCUCUUCUAUAUGUUCUUAUCAGAAAGCAAUAUUAAUUUGUGAGUAAUUUCUUAAACUGACAAUUUUUUAGAGUAUUUGUGUGUCUGCAAUUUUGUUUUUUUAUAUAAGCAUAAUGAAGAAAUUGCAAAUUUUUGUUAUUUGAGGAAUUUUAAGAGCUUGAAGCACUUGCAGAUCCAAUGAGAAAAUAAUUUUCAUUUGUUAGAAAGAAAAUUGAUUCAGUGAAUAAAGAAUUAAAGUCGUUUGGCCAAUCUUGCUAGAAGAAGGUGAGUUAGGUUAAUUGUUUAUGAUUAAGGGCUUGUUUGGAUAAACAACUUAUCUACAACUUAUAGCACUCGUGCUUAUCAAAAUAAGUACUUAUGGAUAAGAACAUAUAACUUAUUUUUAUAACAAAAGAUAAAAUAAAUUUAAAUUAUUUUUAUAUAGGUUAUAAGUUGCAUUUUGUGUUUUUCGGUCUGGGUGUGUUUAUUGUUUGACAUUAUGUUAUAUGUGUUGAAGCUCCAUCCAACAUAAAACUGAAGGUGUUGUUUGCUUCGACACACGUCUGCGAGAAAGAGACGUGAAUAAUCAAUAGGUGUGAUAGAAUUGCUCGUGAAUAAUCAACAGAGUCGAAAACAUGGUCAAAGUUCCCCAACAACCACCAAACUCAAGAAGAAGAAUAAAAUCACAAAGUUUGCACCGAGAUAGGCUGUGCCAGAACCAACAGAGAACUUGGUCGAGGUCGAAGGCUCAAACGACAAUGAAAAGACCCAGAUCUUUUCAAAUCGUAGACCCAAGCCCUCUCCUAAGCCAUAUGUCAGCAAGACGAAAGGUACCAGUCAAAAGAUAAAUCCUCCCAAGGAAAAACAAACUUCGACUGCUGGUCAUGCUAAUAAGGAGGGUAAAGAUUUGGCCAAUUAUAAUAAGGAGAAUUGAAACAAGCAACGAAAAGUCCUCCAAAUAAAAAAGGAAGAGACAAAGGAACCAUGUGUAUUACUUGUAUUUCUCAUUAAUCAUUUUACCUAACGCAACUAAUCAUUCCUCUUUCUCAUUCACAACCACGAUUGAAUGAGAAUAUGGUAUACAAAUCAAAAGGUAUUAAAUGUUAGACUCCCACUUACUCUCA
Long non-coding RNA from Lathyrus oleraceus (garden pea), 2367 nucleotides. RefSeq lists it as uncharacterized. The transcript is spliced from 3 exons. Lineage: Eukaryota; Viridiplantae; Streptophyta; Magnoliopsida; Fabales; Fabaceae. The record is from RefSeq and is a predicted model, not a curated record.